AUUUCCUGUCGAAGCGGAAGAAAGGACGAGAACAGUCGAAAUAAGUCAUAGAGGCGCGGAAGAAAGCGUCUCGGGAUUCGAUGCAGACGAAAGACGAGGCGGGUAUGUCAGCCGCGGAGGAGGGUAGCAAAGGAAACCGCUUUCAGCUGAAAAAAUGGAACGCCGUCGCGCUAUGGUCCUGGGAUAUUCAAGUGGACACCUGCGCCAUCUGUAGAAAUCACAUCAUGGAUCUGUGCAUCGAAUGCCAGUCAAAUCCGUCGUGCUCGCCGAAGGACUGCACAGUAGCGUGGGGCGCCUGCAAUCAUGCCUUUCAUAUGCACUGCAUAUCUCGAUGGCUAAAGACUCGGAACGUUUGUCCUUUAGACAAUAAAGAGUGGGUUUACCUUCGAUAUGGCGCUUAAUUAAGGCGCUGUGGGUAACGCAGUGCAGCUGACGAGUGUGGCGUGCCUCUUGCAGACGAAGUUAUAUUCAGAGUUUCGCUUUGAUGCUUUUGAUUUUGUUUUUGCUUGUUUGUUGUUGUUGUUGUUGUUGCGUGUGUGUGUGUGUGUGUGUGUGUGUGUGUGUCGUUGUAUUUCUGUAAGGCAUUCCGCUUUGGAAAC
RNAcentral lists this unclassified non-coding RNA (599 nucleotides) under Leishmania donovani. Its description in RNAcentral is "gene:LdHU3.21.0050(CDS-product:ring-box_protein_1 _putative)". Lineage: Eukaryota; Euglenozoa; Kinetoplastea; Trypanosomatida; Trypanosomatidae. The record is from RNAcentral.